This 79-nucleotide transfer RNA is filed under the name Enterobacter asburiae. RNAcentral's name for it is "tRNA-Ile". The record is from RNAcentral. Lineage: Bacteria; Pseudomonadati; Pseudomonadota; Gammaproteobacteria; Enterobacterales; Enterobacteriaceae.
CCGCCACUAGCUCAGCAGGAUAGAGCCGGUGACACACUGAUGUUGCAGGUGCGGGGUUCGAGGCCCCGGUGGCGGUCCA